AUUGAACGCUGGCGGCAUGCCUUACACAUGCAAGUCGAACGGCAGCACGGUUGCUUGCACCUAGUGGCGAGUGGCGAACGGGUGUGUAAUACAUCUGAACAUGUCCUGUAGUGGGGGUUAGCCCGGCGAAAUCCGUAUUAUUACCGCAUACGGUCUACGGUUGAGAGCUGGGUGCCUUCUUUCCUCGCUCUAGGGUGAUGGCCGAUGGCUGAUUAGCUAGUUGGUGGGGUAAAGGCCUACCAAGGCGACGAUCAGUAGCUGGUCUGAGAGGACGACGAGCCACACUGGGACUGAGCCACGGCCCAGACUCCUACGGGAGGCAGAAGCGGGGACUUUUGGACACAGGGCGAAAGCCUGAUCAAGCAAUGCAGCGUGUGUGAAGCAGGCCUUCGGGUUGUAAAGCACUUUUGUCCGGAAAGAAAUCCUUGGCCCUAAUACGGUCGGGGGAUGACGGUACCGGAAGAAUAAGCACCGGCUAACUACGUG
RNAcentral lists this ribosomal RNA (486 nucleotides) under uncultured bacterium. Its description in RNAcentral is "partial 16S ribosomal RNA". It matches the Rfam family "Bacterial small subunit ribosomal RNA", at positions 30 to 507 of the family's 1533-position model. The record is from RNAcentral.